GAAAUCUUCAAAGUAAACCUUUUGUUAAUUCAAUUGGUUCCUUACUUUGGUAUUGGAGGUCUUUGCAGUUUCACAACUGCUCCUCUUUGUUCAUUAGCUGGAUCUCAGUGUUAUGCUUGGUUCCACUCGGCGUGAUAAGUAUCUAUCGCUGAGGACACUUGUAAAAAGGUGGCCAAGGUAAAUAGCAGAUGAACCGCUUCUAACAGUCCAUUGACUUGGACAAUAAAUAUUUAUGAUCUGAUCUCAAAUCAGGUAGGACUACCCGCUGAACUUAA
Molecule: unclassified non-coding RNA, 275 nt
Filed under: Ceratobasidium sp. AG-P
Lineage: Eukaryota; Fungi; Basidiomycota; Agaricomycetes; Cantharellales; Ceratobasidiaceae
Description: ITS2
Source: RNAcentral